CUGAAUCCCUGAUGAGCAGCCCUGGUCAUCCCAAACCACCCAUUUUUCCUACAGGAGGUUGUUUUUGAUGUUUUUUGGGAAAGCAGCUUUUCACCAAAGCAAAGCUGAGCCCUUUCCACAAUAUUCAAGCGUUUCUUCAUCAGCCCAGUAUGGAAAAGCUGUUUGCUCCCCAAAAUGAGGCACGAGAAGCCAAAUGAGAUGCUUGAAAACCAGGGAGUGCUGUGUCUGGGAUCUCAUUCCCAGCAGAUGUGAUUUUUCCCCUGCAAGCUCCAGUUUGGGAGUUAAAAGAUUAAUAUCUAAAAGCUAGCUGAGAUACUGAAUAAUAUUUGUCGUGUCCCAGGUGCUGUAGGAAAGGAUGGUGCUUGAACCAGGGAAAAAAGGCAGGAAAAUCCCUUUAGGGCAAAUAUAGGGAGCUGGAGGGGUUGUGGCAUGGGGUCCCUGUGUUGGUGCCUGUCCCUGAAUGAGGAGAGAGCUGGGGAAAACAGAGCUGAUGGGUUUGGGGCAUAUCCUGAGUAUAUUUAUUCCUGCAGAAUUCCUGUCUCCAGGACCUGGGCUUCCCCUUCCCUCUGACCCAUCCAGGCUGGUUGCUUUUCCCAGUGGAUGCUUUAAGGACUGUGUGAGUUCAGUCCAUUUAAACCACCAUGGAGAGGCUGUGUUUACACAGAAAGUGUGCGGGGUGACAGCACCAGUAAUUAAAAAUGUUCUCCUAAAUGAGAUUAAAAAAAAAUCACUGGGGUGGAAAGUGCAUGGCUGUUCCUCCUCCAGGAAAAGGUGCAACCUGGAUUUUGGUGGUGCAGGGUUGGGUACCAUCCAUCACCAGCACCCUCCCCUCCCCGGGGUGUCACUGGGGAAGCUGAGGAACAUCACUGGGCUUGUUUUUCCUAAGAAACUCUGAGUUUCCCACAAAUAUGACAAGCCAGGAUGAAGCAGGCCAAUCCCUGCUGAUGGAUUUGGGAUUAUGAAGAGCCAGAAGGACUCCUGAUGGGUGUGGGGCUGAAAUGACCCCAGCACCAACCCUGGAUGAGGACAGCCAGAGGUAGGGAAGCACCCUCCUGAGCACCCAGAGGAGACAUUGGGGAGAAUUUCUCUGCGUUUUUGCUGUUGAUUUUUAGAGCACUCGGCAGCUCUUGUCUCUUUUUCAUCCCUUUCCUCCCGAUUCCCCCCAGAUGAGCAGUAAGACAGUGAAGCCUGGUGUCAGUCCAUGGCUGAGCCAUGGCAUCCAUGGGGACAGAGCAGCCCCGGGCUGAGGUGAGGGCGAUUUAUGGAGUUCCACAGCGGCACAAUCAUCGCUGGGGUCACCUCCGCGGGGCGAGGUGAGGAGGGGGGGGGAUGCUGAGGGGCUUUGUGACCGAGGGGGCUUUUUGGGAAGAGGGAGGAGAAGGUGUGGAAGGCGAUGGGGAGCCUUCCUCGAUGUGCCCAGGGAGGAGGAGGAGGAGGCGAUUCCCGGCAGCCGCGUCUCCGCUGCGGCCACGGCCGGGGCCCCGCUGCCGAGCGGGGAUUUGCAGCUGAACUCUGCUCAGAAAGUCGCUCCCAGCCUUUUCUCAUUUCUUUCUGGAUUUAAGGCAGCUUCCAAAUUCCUGCGCAGCCAAAUCCUGCCUGGGACUGCCAGGAAAGGCGGCCAGCAGCGAGUACGUGCCGUUUCUGCAGCGCUGUUACCCCGCGGGCGAUGAUGUUGGGAUGCAGCUCCGGCCCUCCCGAGAUGUGACCCCGUCCCUUCCCGGGACCCCCUGCCCUGGCUGCUGCCCGGGUGUCGCCUCUCCUUCACCACCACCUUUUUAUAUACCAAAACACCCCAGAUUCCCUAAAUCUUCACCUCUUCACCCAUAACCUCCCAGGCAGCCGGGGAAGGAAAGGCGCUGGCUUGGUGCGCUCCCGAUGGGAUUUAUGAUCCCAGGGAUUUCCUGCGCUGCUCCUUCCCACCACUGACAAACCACACCCGUUUGUUUCGGGGCGCUCCUUCACGUCUCUUUAUUUAUUUUUAUUUUGCUGUCCCUCAGGAAGGUUUUAGGGGACAGCGGCAGACAAAUGAAGCGGCCCCGAGGUCACAGAGAAGGGCAGCGUUUGGUCCCCAUGGGGAAUGUCAGUGCCUGGGGAAAGGGGGAUCGGGAAAACCCUUCAUUCCCCCAUCCCAGGCCCUCGGCACUUGGGGGUUCCAUGGAAUCACCCCAGAGCAGGGUUGAGGACGGUGCAGGGACGGGGCUGUGCUCGCAGCAUCCUCCCGGCCGCGGCGCGGAUGCGGAGCCGGCCCGGGCCAAGCCCACCCGUGGGACGCCUGAUCUGGUCUUUCCACUGGUGACUCAUGGAAAAACCACUUGUUUUGCAGCGCUGGGCGAUCCUGCCUCCCUGCCUCGCUCGUCUGUCUUUUUUUAAAGGAUUGUUGGCAUGAAAACAUCUGGGACCCCGACCUCCCUGCGGAGCUCGCUCACCUGAAGGCGUUUUCCCUGGAUGUGUGCAGGGCUGGCUGUGCAAACCACGCUCCAUCAGCUGCCUGGGAGGCAGCCUGGUCACGCUCCCGGGCUUGAAUUUUUUGGGGAUUAGUAUUUUUGAGUGGCUCUUAUACAACGGCGUUGGAAGCUUGGAGGGUUUCCAUCGGCUCCGUGCGUGUUGGUUUCCACACUCCUGCCAAAUCUCUCCACAAGGCCCCAGUUUCUCCCCUGUCGAGGCAAACGCUUUGGCUAAUUAGCAAAACGUGUCAAAGAAAAUGAUUAAUGUCCCGGGAGGAGGCUGAGCUGCCUUUGUGCCGGCAUUGCCUGACUUCUGCUCUUAAAGGUUUUAUUAAAAGAUAAGGGAGCUCGUGACGGGUGAGCAAAGCAUGUGCUUCCCUGGG
Molecule: non-coding RNA, 2827 nt
Organism: Taeniopygia guttata (zebra finch)
Lineage: Eukaryota; Metazoa; Chordata; Aves; Passeriformes; Estrildidae
Source: RefSeq, a predicted model, not a curated record